RNAcentral lists this small RNA (438 nucleotides) under Serratia odorifera DSM 4582. RNAcentral's name for it is "cspA thermoregulator". It matches the Rfam family "cspA thermoregulator". The record is from Rfam by way of RNAcentral. Lineage: Bacteria; Pseudomonadati; Pseudomonadota; Gammaproteobacteria; Enterobacterales; Yersiniaceae.
ACCGGUUUGUGGUACAGACCUUAUGAAAGCAGUUUUAGUAAAGCAGUUCUCAGUAUUAGCGAUAUCCUUCCAGAUACUUCUUUUCCCGUGAAUUCUCUUAUUUAGUGCCCCCAUAAGUUAACGCCGAAAACAAGCCCCUAUCGCCUUAUGGCGGCCAAUAAAUAAUGAAGGAAAUUUCUAUGUCUAAUAAAAUGACUGGUUUAGUAAAAUGGUUUGACGCUGGUAAAGGUUUUGGUUUCAUUUCUCCUGCGGACGGCAGCAAAGAUGUAUUCGUGCAUUUCUCUGCUAUCCAGAGCAACGAUUUCAAAACGCUGGAUGAAGGCCAAAAGGUCGAAUUUACCAUCGAAAAUGGUCAGAAAGGCCCAUCUGCAGGCAACGUGGUUGUUCUGUAAGAUAUAAAGUCGGGUCUGAGUUCUUGCAAUAGCGAAGAUGGCGUCA